This is a non-coding RNA of Petromyzon marinus (sea lamprey), 1787 nucleotides long. Lineage: Eukaryota; Metazoa; Chordata; Hyperoartia; Petromyzontiformes; Petromyzontidae. The record is from RefSeq and is a predicted model, not a curated record.
GAAGCAAACGAGUUGAAGGGCCUCACCGCAGUUGGUGUCGGAAGGGGACACGCGCCGGCUGGCGUAUUUCCCGGCCGCCGUUCACCCCCGGCACAGAGCAGCAACUUGAACAUCCGAAGAUGGAAAAAGUAGCUGCAAGCAACGCAAUAACAAUUUGCCAAUGAUUGCACUUUUUUCGGCAAUGGACGUAACGCAAGGUGGAGUGGUAAUGUCCUGCACUCUGAACCUACUUCGCAGUCAUCCAAGCAACCCACGCAGUCCCUCCCAAACCAACGCCGGUGCCCUCCCGAUGCCCCUCUGGUGCUUCGACGAGUGGCUAUGCCGGCAGGGCGUGGGCACAACAAUUCAACUGCACGUGUUGUCCCGGCUUCACCACGCACCACGGUCCCCCCUACGCACUCUGCGUGCUCUGUUGGCGGGGUAGCUGCUCCACAUCCAUGGGCUGUGGUGGCGUGACCCAGCCGUCGCUUGCCACGGGAGGUUCACGGUUCGAUUUCAGGCGGCCGCCAUGACUAAUCAUGCGAGUGCAUUAAACCGCGAAAAAAAAGACGCGCCUUUCUGCUUCAGGGGUGGACGUUAAAGAUCCCGCGACGUCAUUCGCACGAGUAGGCCACUGUGUGUGCCGGCGUCACGGUCCAAAUUUGUUUAAUUGGAGAAAAAAAAUACCGGCAAAUUACUCAAUUGGCCCGAUUGGGAUUAUAUGUAGCAAUCAUCAACCCCUGAUGGGAAAAUUUGACAGGACCCUCCUAAAAAAGAGUCACGGGGAUAAAGUAAGGCUUUCUGGGGUGAACACGAAUAAUAUAAUCAAUGUAAACUCGUCCACGGAAUGAAACAGCUGGGGUGGCUGUGCGUGUGUGAGUUGUGAGCAGGGAUGGAGGGGACCAGAAGGAGGAGACCAGGUGGAUGGGAUAGGGUGGAGCAGACUGGGUGGAUGGAACAGAGUGGAGCGGACUUGGUUAAGUGGACUACGUGGAGCGAACUGGGUUGAAUGGACUCAGUUGAGCGGACAGGUUGGAGCGAACUGGGUGGAGUUGAUGGGGUGGAGCGGACUGGGUGGAACGGGCAGAGUGGAGCGAACUGGGUGGAGUUGAUGGGGUGGAGCGGACGAGGUGGAGCGGACAGGGUGGAAACGGACUGGGUGGAGCAGACGGGGUGGAGCGAACUGUGUGGAGCGGCCUGGGUGGAGGGGACUGGGUGGUGGUGACGUUCUGAAGCAGCGAGGUGCAAACAUCAUCCAUGCUGCGCCGCGUGAGAUAGCGGCAGGCCCCGGCUGUUACGAUGAACCGAUGCUGUUCCAUCGUUGAUCCCUGUCAAGCACGAAUGAUAUCCUUUCUGUGCACAUUUUGUCAUCAGUUUCAACCCUUCCAUCAACCAUUGACCCUUCCAGUGAUGUAUCUGCCCAAGCCCACUUCACUUUUUUAGAUCUUACAUGUGGCACCACUGAUUUGCAUCUGUUUCUUUAGCUAGUGUGACUCCAAGCAUGCAUCUUUAUCCACGUUUGUAUGCAAACUUCUCAACGUUUGGUCCAUUACAUUAAUCAGUUGUCCCUGUUACUGUCCCAUUGAUAAUAAUUGGUAAUAUUCACAGAUUGAAAACGUUUCUCUGCAAGCAUAAUGGAAUGUUGGUUUUCAUUGCCAAAUUUACUUGUCAAUAAACAUUCGAUACUCUUCGUGUCAGCUCUGCGUGAAAUCUGGCAGUCACCUGAUGCGACUCGUGGUCAUUUCCGGCGUAACGUCGUACUCGAAUUAUACAGUGAGGGAAAAAAAGUAUUUGAUCCCCUGCUGAUU